Molecule: long non-coding RNA, 420 nt
Organism: Hyposmocoma kahamanoa
Lineage: Eukaryota; Metazoa; Arthropoda; Insecta; Lepidoptera; Cosmopterigidae
Exons: 2
Source: RefSeq, a predicted model, not a curated record
AAUCAUUAAUUAUUUCGAUGGAGCCAUAACAUUUAAAAGAAGAAGAAGAAUAUCUUCACUUUAUUUCUGCCGAAAUGGAUUCGGUGGAGCGUAUAACAAAUUCCUUUAUAAUAAUAUGAUGGGCAUAUUUAUUUAGUUCUUAUUCGGAAUCCUCAAGGGAAAUAUAUACCAAAUAUAGACCAUACCUUUGUACCUCCAUCUAUUUCCUACAGUACUAUUACAGACAUGGAUGAAUUUAUUAAUGAAUUAAAAGACAAAUUCUACGUUAAUAAAAUUGCAAGUGCAUUGAGUGCUAUUACCAAUAAACAAGGCAGAUAAGACGGAGGCAGAUGCAAAUAAUCUUGGCUCUACAUCUGGUGGGUCGCCAAGACAAAUAGUACAAAAUGUUACCGACUCGGUAUCGGAAACAGUAACCAAGCA